Molecule: long non-coding RNA, 3035 nt
Organism: Passer domesticus (house sparrow)
Lineage: Eukaryota; Metazoa; Chordata; Aves; Passeriformes; Passeridae
Exons: 3
Source: RefSeq, a predicted model, not a curated record
GUGGGGACAGCUAAGAGGAUGACAGAGAAAGGAAGGUAGAAGCAGAAGAAGUGAAUCAUCCAAGUACAUGAGGUAGAAACAGCACAGAAGAAAAGGAAGAGGUCACAGGUGCUCCAGAGGCAGGCAGAGGAAAAGGGAAUGCUUUCCCAAUACUGCACAGUGCUCCUACUUCUGAGAGCUGCUUGACCUGUGCUCAAAGUCUAUCACAUAACGACACCUUAAUGUAGAAAUGACUCCACGAGGCGAAGGUGAAGGCAUCGAGUGCUUCCAAUCUUCCUUCCUCAGCUGGAUUUGAAAUGCGAGGGAACGUAUGUUAAAUACACAUUGUACGUUUUCCCUGCUGCCCUGCGUUCAUCCAAUCAAGAAUUUUCCAAGAGUGCAUAAGUACAAGUUAUGCAGAGCAUUUUAAGAAGCAAAACCUGCCAGCUUUAGGAAGGAGGCAGGGAAGCUGGAAAUUCAACGCUCUGGGAUUUGCCGUGGGCACUGUGGAAAAGCAGGGAUCCUUCCUGCAUCCUUUCUGUUCCUCCUGACUUCAGGCAAUCCACUCCAGCCACGUGUCCAAUAAGCUCCUUGGCACUGGAAAGGUAAUUACUGGCUCCCUGCUCACCUUUGAACAAGACUCAGCAUCGGGAAAAAACAGCAGCGCUACCGUCAUGUUGGACUAAUGGCAAAGUCUCCGUUGGAAUUUAAUCCCUAAGUGUCUCAGGAGAAGCUCAGAACUUCACAACUGUGAACUCCUGGUCAUAUUUUAAGACUCUCAUCCUAAAUAUUCCAAUUCACUCAGAGAAUAAAAGGGAAAUCAUGGAAUCAUAGGAUUGUUAAGGUUGGAAAAGCCCUGUAAGGUCUUCAGGUCCAACCAUCCACUGCUGUGUUCACCACGUCCUCAAGUGCCUUAUCCACACGUUCCUUGGACAAUUCCAGGGACAGGGAGUUCAUCCCUGCCCAGGGCAGCAUGUUCCUGUGAUCCAAAGGCCUCCACCUUUGAUCCCAAGGAGCUCCAAAAGAGCAGCCUCGGAGCAGUGACAGUUGGUGCUUUUUUGUAAGGCUGAUGAAAGUGCAUUGAAACUCACUUUUAUCCAGAACUGAGGAAAAGAGGGUUUGGAGCACAGUGUGGAAUUUUUCUCUCCUGCAGGUUCGCCUGUGAGACUGUGGCUGAUCCAUCCCUGAAAGUGUCCAAGGCCAGGUUGGACACUGGGGCUUGGAGCAGCCUGGGAUAGUAGAAGGUAUCCCUGAAUAUGGCAGGGGGGACACUGGAUGGGCUUCAUUAAGGUCCCUUCCAAACCAAACCAUCCUGGGAUUCCGUGAUUCCCUGUCAGUUGUGUCUGAUGGGCUGUUUGCAGGUGCUGUGUGAGAUUUGAGUGGGACAACAGAGUGCUUCUUUGCCAUUGUCUUUAACUUGUAAGCUCUCAGUGAAAAUUUAAGACUUCUCUGUCUCCAGAGGGAGAGAGAGACUUGGAGAAGAGGAAGAACUGGACAAUGGUCUCAGGGAUGCACAGGGUGGGAUUACUGGGGUGUCUGUGCAGGGCCAGGGGUUGGACUGAAUGAUCCCUGUGGGUGCCUUCCAGCUCAGAAUGUUCUGUGAUUCCAUGAACUGGAGAAGGUGUGGAGAAAGUCUAAAAGAGCUCAGUUGAAGUAAGAGAAAGGAUCUCCUUGCCAAGUGAUACCCACAGCCCUCAAUUAGAGGCACCAAGGAAUCAGGAGGACAAAUGCUCCUCUGAAUCCAGGGAAAGUCUUCAUUUUGUGCUGAAAGACAACAGAAUGAACUCAGUUUUCUGCCUCUGUCUUCCACAGUGAUUCAAACCCUCCUAUUCAGAGAAACAGUGAUCAGCAUUCCUCGGAGACCAGUUGUCUGAGGACACCAGGGAAGCAGAGGGGAGGGAUUUGUGGUUUGGGGUUGUUACUGACAACAAUAACUGCGGGAUUGUGAUGUUAUUCGGGGUGAACACACUCAGUGCUGGGAGUGGGUGGUCUGGGAACUGACACACAGCCAGGGAUUGGUGCUCUUGGUUCAUCUCCUCCGAUACUUUGGGUGCAGAUAGCAAUGAUCAUGGGCAAUUCUUUUUUUUUUUUUCCCCCAAAAAGAUUACUUAGGAAGAAAAAAAAUCUCUUCUCUUACCAGUAGGGUUUAGGACGUGGGGAACUGUACGGAUUUCCUUCUCUAAUCUGUAGGAAUUAGCCCUGACUGACAGGAGCCAGCAUGCAAUUGACUUACAGUCCUCAGCUAACUUGCAGCUCUGUAGAAUUCCAGGAAUAAAAGGCUUCUUGUCCAAAGUGGAAUUCCUAUGAGGAUCCAACCAGAAGGGUCAAUGCCAGAACGGAGGCUGCCGUUUUGUCCUGGGAGAGAAUCCAUGCAGCUCAGCCAAUGACGUCCUCGUUGCUGUAGUAGGGAGUGAAGCCAGGCCAUGGCCGUGGAGCUGUUGGGUUCCUGCCUUGCUGAGCAGUUCUUAACAGAAAAAAAACUCUUUUUAAGGCUGAUUUUUUUCACCUGCUUGUGGACAGUAUCUGCAGGACAGAGGCAGCUGAAUUCUGUCUCUAGGACCAGGCCAUGGCUUUUGGAUGUGGCACUGGGGUGACACUGCCCUGGUACCCAGGAUAGCUCUCACAGCCUCUGCAUCCAGAGGGAGAAAGGACAAGGAAAAUUACAGUUCCUAUGUUUUGUGUGACUGUGACUUCAGUAGUUUCUUGUGCUUGAAGUGCUUGUUUAGGGUUUCAACUUUGUGUGGGUUUAAAAUGGUGGAAAAGGGUUAAGAGCUGCUGAACUUUUACAGCACCAUGUAAAAUGUACCCAUUUACCAAGCACUUUUUAAGCAGUACUUUUUAUAUAUGUGUGUGUAUCUAUAAGAAAAAUGUGUAUUUUUUAUAUUUGUAUUUAUAUGUGUGUGCGCAUUUGCUUUAUGUGCUACAUUCCUCUGCCCCUUUCCAAACACUGAGUGAAUUUUUACAACCCUGCUGCAUCUUUUGGGGUCCCUGGAUCCUCACCCAGUGCCUCUCACUGGGACAUGCUGGUUUUACAAGAACCAGGCAGCCUCAGUAUU